UAUUACUCAUCUGGAGACAGCCACAGAAUUCAGCCAAAGCUGCUUUCAUGGUCCCUUUUGUGACUUGGGUUCUCAUUUUAAGCACCAUGGUCAAUGUCUAUCUUAUGGUUCAGCUUGGAUCAGAAACCUGGAUUYGUUAUGCAGUCUGGAUGACAAUAGGUUUAACUAUCUACUUUUGUUAUGGGUUUCGGCACAGAGUACAGAAAGAAAGGAUGGAGAACUCACAGGCAUGAGUCAGUUUUUAACCACAAUGAUGAACCUAAAUUCCUCACCAUGGUGUUUUUCACCCAAAAAAAGGUUUGUUACGAGUGGUUUUUGAUUGUGAAGCCACUUAUCAAGGAACAUCAUUAAAUAAAGAACUACUACAAGGACCGUUCCUUACUUGGAGUACUCCUUCGCUUCAGGCAGGAGCCUGUAGCAUUUACGGGUGACAUUCAGGCCAUGUUCCAUCAGGUGAAGGUUGCAGAACAAGACAGAGACUUUCUGCGCUUUCUCUGGUGGCCAGAAGGAGACAUCAGCAGAGAACAAAGUCUACAGAAUGACUGUGCACUUGUCCGGAGCUGUUUCAUCUCCAAGCUGCGCUAGCUAUGGGCUAAAGAAAACUGCAGAUGACAACAAAGAUGAUUUUUCUGAUCAAGCUGUUCUUGCUGUCAAGCAAAAUUUUUAUGUUGAUGACUGCCUGAUGAGUUUGGGUUCAGAGGGAAGAGGCCAUAAAAAUGGUGAAUGAACUAAAUGCUCUCUGUAAAAGAAGUGGGUUUCAGUUGGAGAAAUGGAUCAGUAACAGUCGAGCAGUGUUGCAGUCAAUCCCAGAAGAGCACUGGGCAAAGGAUUUAAAAGAGCUCAAUUUGGAUCGAGAUGACCUCCCAGCGGAAAGAGCUUCAGGUCUACUGUGGUGUGUUGAGUCAGACUACUUCAGAUUUAAGAUGGAGAUAAAACAUCAGUCUCCAACCAGACGUGGCAUGCUGUCCAUCACCAAUUCAGUAUAAGAUCCUUUGGGUUUUCUGUCACCAGCCAUCCUACCUGCUAAGAUAAUGCAGCAAGAGCUCUGUAGGAGGAGCUGUGGAUGGGAUGAUGUCAUCCCACUGGAUAUUUUGAAACAGUGGGAACAGUGGUUGGAGGAGGUCAAGUUACUUGCUUCAUUCAAAGUAGCAAGAUGUAUGAAACCAAAGGAUUUUGGGAACCUCAUACACUGCCAAUUACAUCAUUUUGCUGAUGCCAGUAAAGAUGGCUAUGAGACUGUAACAUACAGUCCCAAGACAACAAAGAUCAUAUUAACGUAACUUUCUUACUAGGAAAGGCCAGAUGGUGCCUUUAAAAACUGUGACGAUCCCAAGACUGGAACUUACAGCCGCAGUUUUGGCUGCCAGAAUGGACGUGAUGCUAAAGGCAGAGCUUCAAAUGCAGCUGGAUGAAUCUGUGUUUUGGACGGACAGUACAUCAGUUCUGAAAUACAUUAACAAUAAGGAUAAACGUUUCCAAACCUUUGUGGCAAAUCGGAUCUCAACAAUGAGAGAUUUCCGAGAUUUCCAAGCCCUUCCCAAUGGAGGCAUGUUGCUUCCAACAACAACCCAGCCGAUGCUGCAUCAAAGGGAAUGAAAGUGACCCAUUUUCUGACCAACCACAGUUGGAUUGAGGGCCCUAGCUUUCUUUGGAAGCCUGAGGAAUUCUGGCCAGAGAAUCCUGUGAUAAUAAGAUGGACUCCAAUGAUCCAGAGCUCAAAAGGGAUGCUCUUGUGAACGGUGCUGCCUUACCACCUGGGCUGUUUGAACCCUCAGAUAUGUAUGUGGAGCGUCGUUAGAGACAAGUUCAAUACAUCUCAGAUUUAUUUUGGAAAUGCUGGAUCAAGGAGUAUUUGCCCCUAUUGCAAGAAAGACAGAUUUGAAAUCUGGAGAUGUUGUUGUCAUCAUGGAUUCAUCUGCCCCACGUGGCUCCUGGCCUCUUACUAAAGUAAUAUCAGUUUUCUCUGAUAAAAAAGGCAUGGUGGGAUUUGUAAAACUGCAGACAAAGAACAAUAUUAUUGAAAAACCUGUUACCAAACUUUGUUUGAUACAAGGGGUGUAAAUCAACAGAUAUGUAUUCAUUUUGCUCCUAUUGUUAUUGUAUAUAAUUGUUACGUCUGCCUGCCAUAACAAUUAGGGGCCGGUGUGUAGGAGCAGAUUAUGAAUUUCUGUAUUCCAAAUGGUUUGUGUCACAUGAUCUGUCUGCUGUCAUUUUAGGUAGGAUCCGGUGUUGAUGAUGACAGGUGUGUUCCACCCGAAAGGGGGAAACAGUUUUCGACCGCAACGCAAUACUAACGUAACGCAUCGCUACCGCUAUCAAAGUAAAUGCUAUGUGGAUCGCUGAAACUAUGUAUGCGGUGUUAUUGUCAACAUGUAAGAGGAAUGACUUGUUGUACAAAGGAAAUAAGAUGAUGAUUGCCGAGUCAUGGAAAUAAAUGGAUUACCUGCACUAACAUCAA
Poecilia reticulata (guppy) is the source of this 2458-nucleotide non-coding RNA. The record is from RefSeq and is a predicted model, not a curated record. Lineage: Eukaryota; Metazoa; Chordata; Actinopteri; Cyprinodontiformes; Poeciliidae.